AGUAAAAGGUAAACCUGCCGAAAGGCAGGGGCGCAAAGUCUCAGAUCCGGGAAGCUUCUCAGGAUGGCUGGACUGCC
Molecule: non-coding RNA, 77 nt
Filed under: Paenibacillus antibioticophila
Lineage: Bacteria; Bacillati; Bacillota; Bacilli; Caryophanales; Paenibacillaceae
Description: Cyclic di-GMP-I riboswitch
Rfam family: c-di-GMP-I riboswitch aptamer
About the family: GEMM was predicted in a large-scale screen for bacterial structured RNA regulatory elements.
Source: RNAcentral